Molecule: ribosomal RNA, 2905 nt
Filed under: Yersinia frederiksenii
Lineage: Bacteria; Pseudomonadati; Pseudomonadota; Gammaproteobacteria; Enterobacterales; Yersiniaceae
Description: bacterial LSU rRNA
Rfam family: Bacterial large subunit ribosomal RNA
Source: RNAcentral
UUAAGCGACUAAGCGUACACGGUGGAUGCCUAGGCAGUCAGAGGCGAUGAAGGGCGUGCUAAUCUGCGAAAAGCGUCGGUAAGCUGAUAUGAAGCGUUACAACCGACGAUACCCGAAUGGGGAAACCCAGUGCAAUUCGUUGCACUAUUGCAUGGUGAAUACAUAGCCAUGCAAGGCGAACCGGGGGAACUGAAACAUCUAAGUACCCCGAGGAAAAGAAAUCAACCGAGAUUCCCCCAGUAGCGGCGAGCGAACGGGGAGGAGCCCAGAGUCUGAAUCAGUUUGUGUGUUAGUGGAAGCGUCUGGAAAGUCGCACGGUACAGGGUGAUAGUCCCGUACACAAAAAUACACUUGCUGUGAACUCGAUGAGUAGGGCGGGACACGUGACAUCCUGUCUGAAUAUGGGGGGACCAUCCUCCAAGGCUAAAUACUCCUGACUGACCGAUAGUGAACCAGUACCGUGAGGGAAAGGCGAAAAGAACCCCGGCGAGGGGAGUGAAAUAGAACCUGAAACCGUGUACGUACAAGCAGUGGGAGCACCUUCGUGGUGUGACUGCGUACCUUUUGUAUAAUGGGUCAGCGACUUAUAUUUUGUAGCAAGGUUAACCGAAUAGGGGAGCCGUAGGGAAACCGAGUCUUAACUGGGCGUCUAGUUGCAAGGUAUAGACCCGAAACCCGGUGAUCUAGCCAUGGGCAGGUUGAAGGUUGGGUAACACUAACUGGAGGACCGAACCGACUAAUGUUGAAAAAUUAGCGGAUGACUUGUGGCUGGGGGUGAAAGGCCAAUCAAACCGGGAGAUAGCUGGUUCUCCCCGAAAGCUAUUUAGGUAGCGCCUCGUGAACUCAUCUUCGGGGGUAGAGCACUGUUUCGGCUAGGGGGUCAUCCCGACUUACCAAACCGAUGCAAACUCCGAAUACCGAAGAAUGUUAUCACGGGAGACACACGGCGGGUGCUAACGUCCGUCGUGAAGAGGGAAACAACCCAGACCGCCAGCUAAGGUCCCAAAGUCAUGGUUAAGUGGGAAACGAUGUGGGAAGGCACAGACAGCCAGGAUGUUGGCUUAGAAGCAGCCAUCAUUUAAAGAAAGCGUAAUAGCUCACUGGUCGAGUCGGCCUGCGCGGAAGAUGUAACGGGGCUAAACCAUGCACCGAAGCUGCGGCAGCGACACUUAGGUGUUGUUGGGUAGGGGAGCGUUCUGUAAGCCGUUGAAGGUGGCCUGUGAGGGCUGCUGGAGGUAUCAGAAGUGCGAAUGCUGACAUAAGUAACGAUAAUGCGGGUGAAAAGCCCGCACGCCGGAAGACCAAGGGUUCCUGUCCAACGUUAAUCGGGGCAGGGUGAGUCGACCCCUAAGGCGAGGCUGAAAAGCGUAGUCGAUGGGAAACAGGUUAAUAUUCCUGUACUCGGUGUUACUGCGAAGGGGGGACGGAGAAGGCUAGGCUAGCCGGGCGACGGUUGUCCCGGUUUAAGCAUGUAGGCGGAGUGACCUGGUAAAUCCGGUUGCUUAUCAACGCUGAGGUGUGAUGACGAUGCACUACGGUGCAGAAGUAGUUGAUGCCAAGCUUCCAGGAAAAGCCUCUAAGCAUCAGGUAACAUUGAAUCGUACCCCAAACCGACACAGGUGGUCAGGUAGAGAAUACUCAGGCGCUUGAGAGAACUCGGGUGAAGGAACUAGGCAAAAUGGUGCCGUAACUUCGGGAGAAGGCACGCUGGCAUUAGGUAAAGAGACUUGCUCUCGUAGCCGAAGCCAGUCGCAGAUACCAGCUGGCUGCAACUGUUUAAUAAAAACACAGCACUGUGCAAACACGAAAGUGGACGUAUACGGUGUGACGCCUGCCCGGUGCUGGAAGGUUAAUUGAUGGGGUCAGCCGCAAGGCGAAGCUCUUGAUCGAAGCCCCAGUAAACGGCGGCCGUAACUAUAACGGUCCUAAGGUAGCGAAAUUCCUUGUCGGGUAAGUUCCGACCUGCACGAAUGGCGUAAUGAUGGCCAGGCUGUCUCCACCCGAGACUCAGUGAAAUUGAACUCGCUGUGAAGAUGCAGUGUACCCGCGGCAAGACGGAAAGACCCCGUGAACCUUUACUAUAGCUUGACACUGAACAUUGAGCCUUGAUGUGUAGGAUAGGUGGGAGGCAUCGAAGCGUGGACGCCAGUCUGCGUGGAGCCAACCUUGAAAUACCACCCUUUAAUGUUUGAUGUUCUAACUCGGCCCCGUAAUCCGGGGUGAGGACAGUGUCUGGUGGGUAGUUUGACUGGGGCGGUCUCCUCCCAAAGAGUAACGGAGGAGCACGAAGGUUAGCUAAUCACGGUCGGACAUCGUGAGGUUAGUGCAAAGGCAUAAGCUAGCUUGACUGCGAGAGUGACGGCUCGAGCAGGUACGAAAGUAGGUCUUAGUGAUCCGGUGGUUCUGAAUGGAAGGGCCAUCGCUCAACGGAUAAAAGGUACUCCGGGGAUAACAGGCUGAUACCGCCCAAGAGUUCAUAUCGACGGCGGUGUUUGGCACCUCGAUGUCGGCUCAUCACAUCCUGGGGCUGAAGUAGGUCCCAAGGGUAUGGCUGUUCGCCAUUUAAAGUGGUACGCGAGCUGGGUUUAGAACGUCGUGAGACAGUUCGGUCCCUAUCUGCCGUGGGCGUUGGAAGAUUGAGAGGGGCUGCUCCUAGUACGAGAGGACCGGAGUGGACGAAUCACUGGUGUUCGGGUUGUCAUGCCAAUGGCAUUGCCCGGUAGCUAAAUUCGGAAGAGAUAACCGCUGAAAGCAUCUAAGCGGGAAACUUGCCUCGAGAUGAGUCUUCCCUGGGGCUUUAAGCCCCCUGAAGGAACGUUAAAGACUAUGACGUUGAUAGGCUGGGUGUGUAAGUGCAGCGAUGCAUUGAGCUAACCAGUACUAAUGAUCCGUGAGGCUUAACCUU